Numida meleagris (helmeted guineafowl) is the source of this 335-nucleotide long non-coding RNA. RefSeq lists it as uncharacterized. The record is from RefSeq and is a predicted model, not a curated record. NCBI's taxonomy places the organism in Eukaryota, Metazoa, Chordata, Aves, Galliformes, Numididae. The transcript is spliced from 3 exons.
GAAUGGCUGAGUAGAUACAGGGAGAGCAGUGGAUGUUGUCUACCUUGACUUCAGGAAGGCUUUUGAAUUUGUCUCCCAUAGCAUCCUCACAGAUGUUUCAGUGACCAGAGAGAAAUCCAAGUCUUGGCUGUGUGGCAGAGAUGUGCACCCUUGCUUCAGCUGCUCAAACUCACAGAACGUCCACUGCCUUCGAUCCUGUAAGAACAAGGAUCUGCAACCUGAUUUAGAACCUAUGGUUUUACUGGAGAAGUAGAAAGCCUAGGAAGGAAAAAUGCUAUGGAAAAUUUUGUCUCCCAGAUACCAUAAAGCUCUAAGCAUCAAAAUACAAAUGUUAU